GAUGAACGCUAGCGGCAGGCCUAAUACAUGCAAGUCGAACGGGAUCCAGAUCAAAGCUUGCUUUGGUUUGGUGAGAGUGGCGUACGGGUGCGUAACGCGUGAGCAACCUACCCUUGUCAGGGGGAUAGCCCGGCGAAAGUCGGAUUAAUACCGCAUGACAUCAUUGAGAGGCAUCUUUCGAUGAUCAAAGAUUUAUCGGACAAGGAUGGGCUCGCGUGACAUUAGCUAGUUGGUAAGGUAACGGCUUACCAAGGCUACGAUGUCUAGGGGCUCUGAGAGGAGAAUCCCCCAAACUGGUACUGAGACACGGACCAGACUCCUACGGGAGGCAGCAGUAAGGAAGAUUGGUCAAUGGACGGAAGUCUGAACCAGCCAUGCCGCGUGCAGGAAGACGGCCCUAUGGGUUGUAAACUGCUUUUAUACGGGAACAAACGUCGGUACGUGUACCGGUCUGAGUGUACCGUAAGAAUAAGGAUCGGCUAACUCCGUG
RNAcentral lists this ribosomal RNA (490 nucleotides) under uncultured bacterium. Its description in RNAcentral is "partial 16S ribosomal RNA". It matches the Rfam family "Bacterial small subunit ribosomal RNA", at positions 28 to 507 of the family's 1533-position model. The record is from RNAcentral.